RNAcentral lists this ribosomal RNA (292 nucleotides) under uncultured bacterium. RNAcentral describes it as "partial 16S ribosomal RNA". It matches the Rfam family "Bacterial small subunit ribosomal RNA", at positions 505 to 796 of the family's 1533-position model. The record is from RNAcentral.
GUGCCAGCAGCCGCGGUAAUACGAAGGGGGCGAGCGUUAUUCGGAAUCACUGGGCGUAAAGCGUGCGUAGGCUGUUCGGUAAGUCAGAAGUGAAAGCCCAAGGCUCAACCUUGGAAGCGCUUUUGAAACUACCGGACUCGGAUUUGGGAGAGGAUAGCGGAAUUGUCAGUGUAGCAGUGAAAUGCGUAGAUAUUGACAGGAACACCAGUGGCGCAAGCGGCUAUCUGGACCAACAUCGACGCUGAGGCACGAAAGCGUGGGGAUCAAACAGGAUUAGAUACCCUGGUAGUCC